This 734-nucleotide ribosomal RNA is filed under the name marine alpha proteobacterium Fun-106. RNAcentral's name for it is "bacterial SSU rRNA". It matches the Rfam family "Bacterial small subunit ribosomal RNA", at positions 39 to 819 of the family's 1533-position model. The record is from RNAcentral. Lineage: Bacteria; Pseudomonadati; Pseudomonadota; Alphaproteobacteria.
GCGGCGGCCUNACACAUGCAAGUCGNAGCGCGCCCUUCGGGGUGAGCGGCGGACGGGUUAGUAACGCGUGGGAACAUACCCUUUGGUACGGAAUAGCCUCUGGAAACGGAGAGUAAUACCGUAUGAGCCCUUCGGGGGAAAGAUUUAUCGCCAAAGGAUUGGCCCGCGUUAGAUUAGGUAGUUGGUGGGGUAACGGCCUACCAAGCCUACGAUCUAUAGCUGGUUUUAGAGGAUGAUCAGCAACACUGGGACUGAGACACGGCCCAGACUCCUACGGGAGGCAGCAGUGGGGAAUCUUGGACAAUGGGGGCAACCCUGAUCCAGCCAUGCCGCGUGAGUGAUGAAGGCCUUAGGGUCGUAAAGCUCUUUCGCCUGUGAAGAUAAUGACGGUAGCAGGUAAAGAAACCCCGGCUAACUCCGUGCCAGCAGCCGCGGUAAUACGGAGGGGGUUAGCGUUGUUCGGAAUUACUGGGCGUAAAGCGCACGUAGGCGGACUGGAAAGUUGGGGGUGAAAUCCCAGGGCUCAACCCUGGAACUGCCUCCAAAACUAUCAGUCUAGAGUUCGAGAGAGGUGAGUGGAAUUCCGAGUGUAGAGGUGAAAUUCGUAGAUAUUCGGAGGAACACCAGUGGCGAAGGCGGCUCACUGGCUCGAUACUGACGCUGAGGUGCGAAAGUGUGGGGAGCAAACAGGAUUAGAUACCCUGGUAGUCCACACCGUAAACGAUGAAUGCCAG